RNAcentral lists this ribosomal RNA (501 nucleotides) under uncultured bacterium. Its description in RNAcentral is "partial 16S ribosomal RNA". It matches the Rfam family "Bacterial small subunit ribosomal RNA", at positions 30 to 523 of the family's 1533-position model. The record is from RNAcentral.
AUUGAACGCUGGCGGCAGGCUUAACACAUGCAAGUCGAGCGGAGAUGAGGUGCUUGCACCUUAUCUUAGCGGCGGACGGGUGAGUAAUGCUUAGGAAUCUGCCUAUUAGUGGGGGACAACAUUCCGAAAGGAAUGCUAAUACCGCAUACGUCCUACGGGAGAAAGCAGGGGAUCUUCGGACCUUGCGCUAAUAGAUGAGCCUAAGUCGGAUUAGCUAGUUGGUGGGGUAAAGGCCUACCAAGGUGACGAUCUGUAGCGGGUCUGAGAGGAUGAUCCGCCACACUGGGACUGAGACACGGCCGAGAAUCCUACGGGAGGCAGCAGUGGGGAAUAUUGGACAAUGGGGGGAACCCUGAUCCAGCCAUGCCGCGUGUGUGAAGAAGGCCUUAUGGUUGUAAAGCACUUUAAGCGAGGAGGAGGCUACUGAGACUAAUACUCUUGGAUAGUGGACGUUACUCACAGAAUAAGCACCGGCUAACUCUGUGCCAGCCGCCGCCGUAA